RNAcentral lists this ribosomal RNA (992 nucleotides) under Salmonella enterica subsp. enterica serovar Birkenhead. RNAcentral's name for it is "partial 23S ribosomal RNA". It matches the Rfam family "Bacterial large subunit ribosomal RNA", at positions 161 to 1191 of the family's 2925-position model. The record is from RNAcentral. Lineage: Bacteria; Pseudomonadati; Pseudomonadota; Gammaproteobacteria; Enterobacterales; Enterobacteriaceae.
AAUCCAUAGGUUAAUGAGGCGAACCGGGGGAACUGAAACAUCUAAGUACCCCGAGGAAAAGAAAUCAACCGAGAUUCCCCCAGUAGCGGCGAGCGAACGGGGAGGAGCCCAGAGCCUGAAUCAGCAUGUGUGUUAGUGGAAGCGUCUGGAAAGGCGCGCGAUACAGGGUGACAGCCCCGUACACAAAAGCGCAUGUGCUGUGAGCUCGAUGAGUAGGGCGGGACACGUGGUAUCCUGUCUGAAUAUGGGGGGACCAUCCUCCAAGGCUAAAUACUCCUGACUGACCGAUAGUGAACCAGUACCGUGAGGGAAAGGCGAAAAGAACCCCGGCGAGGGGAGUGAAAAAGAACCUGAAACCGUGUACGUACAAGCAGUGGGAGCACAGGUUUACCUGUGUGACUGCGUACCUUUUGUAUAAUGGGUCAGCGACUUAUAUUCUGUAGCAAGGUUAACCGAAUAGGGGAGCCGUAGGGAAACCGAGUCUUAACCGGGCGUUAAGUUGCAGGGUAUAGACCCGAAACCCGGUGAUCUAGCCAUGGGCAGGUUGAAGGUUGGGUAACACUAACUGGAGGACCGAACCGACUAAUGUUGAAAAAUUAGCGGAUGACCUGUGGCUGGGGGUGAAAGGCCAAUCAAACCGGGAGAUAGCUGGUUCUCCCCGAAAGCUAUUUAGGUAGCGCCUCGUGAAUUCAUCUCCGGGGGUAGAGCACUGUUUCGGCUAGGGGGCCAUCCCGGCUUACCAACCCGAUGCAAACUGCGAAUACCGGAGAAUGUUAUCACGGGAGACACACGGCGGGUGCUAACGUCCGUCGUGAAGAGGGAAACAACCCAGACCGCCAGCUAAGGUCCCAAAGUCAUGGUUAAGUGGGAAACGAUGUGGGAAGGCCCAGACAGCCAGGAUGUUGGCUUAGAAGCAGCCAUCAUUUAAAGAAAGCGUAAUAGCUCACUGGUCGAGUCGGCCUGCGCGGAAGAUGUAACGGGGCUAAACCAUG